RNAcentral lists this ribosomal RNA (578 nucleotides) under uncultured bacterium. RNAcentral describes it as "bacterial SSU rRNA". It matches the Rfam family "Bacterial small subunit ribosomal RNA", at positions 102 to 694 of the family's 1533-position model. The record is from RNAcentral.
ACGGGUGAGUAACACGUGGGCAAUCUGCCCUUCACUCUGGGACAAGCCCUGGAAACGGGGUCUAAUACCGGAUAGCACUUCCACUCGCAUGGGUGGGGGUUGAAAGCUCCGGCGGUGAAGGAUGAGCCCGCGGCCUAUCAGCUUGUUGGUGAGGUAAUGGCUCACCAAGGCGACGACGGGUAGCCGGCCUGAGAGGGCGACCGGCCACACUGGGACUGAGACACGGCCCAGACUCCUACGGGAGGCAGCAGUGGGGAAUAUUGCACAAUGGGCGAAAGCCUGAUGCAGCGACGCCGCGUGAGGGAUGACGGCCUUCGGGUUGUAAACCUCUUUCAGCAGGGAAGAAGCGAAAGUGACGGUACCUGCAGAAGAAGCGCCGGCUAACUACGUGCCAGCAGCCGCGGUAAUACGUAGGGCGCAAGCGUUGUCCGGAAUUAUUGGGCGUAAAGAGCUCGUGGGCGGUCUGUCGCGUCGGAUGUGAAAGCCCGGGGCUUAACCCCGGGUCUGCAUUCGAUACGGGCAGACUAGAGUGUGGUAGGGGAGAUCGGAAUUCCUGGUGUAGCGGUGAAAUGCGCAGA